Molecule: transfer RNA, 72 nt
Filed under: Bos taurus (domestic cattle)
Lineage: Eukaryota; Metazoa; Chordata; Mammalia; Artiodactyla; Bovidae
Also listed under: 4 other names
Rfam family: tRNA
About the family: Transfer RNA (tRNA) molecules are approximately 80 nucleotides in length. Their secondary structure includes four short double-helical elements and three loops (D, anti-codon, and T loops). Further hydrogen bonds mediate the characteristic L-shaped molecular structure. tRNAs have two regions of fundamental functional importance: the anti-codon, which is responsible for specific mRNA codon recognition, and the 3' end, to which the tRNAs corresponding amino acid is attached (by aminoacyl-tRNA synthetases). tRNAs cope with the degeneracy of the genetic code in two manners: having more than one tRNA (with a specific anti-codon) for a particular amino acid; and 'wobble' base-pairing, i.e. permitting non-standard base-pairing at the 3rd anti-codon position.
Source: Rfam by way of RNAcentral
UCCCUGGUGGCUCAGACGGUAAAGAAUCUGCCUGCAAUGCAGGAGACCUGGGUUCAACCCCUGGGUUGGGAA